This 253-nucleotide ribosomal RNA is filed under the name uncultured bacterium. RNAcentral's name for it is "partial 16S ribosomal RNA". It matches the Rfam family "Bacterial small subunit ribosomal RNA", at positions 524 to 776 of the family's 1533-position model. The record is from RNAcentral.
UACAGAGGGGGCAAGCGUUGUUCGGAAUUACUGGGCGUAAAGGGCGCGUAGGCGGCCGCCUAAGUCAGACGUGAAAUCCCUCGGCUCAACCGGGGAACUGCGUCUGAUACUGGGUGGCUUGAAUCCGGGAGAGGGAUGCGGAAUUCCAGGUGUAGCGGUGAAAUGCGUAGAUAUCUGGAGGAACACCGGUGGCGAAGGCGGCAUCCUGGACCGGCAUUGGCGCUGAGGCGCGAAAGCCAGGGGAGCAAACGGG